UUAACUCAUAUUUGUAUGGAAUGGGAUCGUUUGCGUACGUUUGCCGCUAGGGGCGCUGUUCCAAUUUCAUACAAAAUUGGCUUA
Molecule: microRNA precursor, 84 nt
Filed under: Bombyx mori (domestic silkworm)
Lineage: Eukaryota; Metazoa; Arthropoda; Insecta; Lepidoptera; Bombycidae
Description: mir-2807 microRNA precursor family
Rfam family: mir-2807 microRNA precursor family
Source: Rfam by way of RNAcentral